AUGGAGCAGAGUUUCUUUGACCUUAUAUCUCAGUCACAGCCUUGUCAAGCCUCUCUAGCUUUCCCACUUAACAUGGUGAAUGUAACUGGAAGACAAAAAAGAUCAUUCCCAGAGGCUGCUGCCCACAGCAUAUGGCUAAGUGCUUUACUGGCAGAAAGAAACAUACAAACAACAUACAAAAAAAGGGCUGUCUUCUCUCCAGCAAAGUUGAUCAAGAAACUGGGUGCAAUGGAACUGCUGACAGCAGCUACUUGCUAUAAAAAGCUAAUAGUACUUUGUGGACCAUGA
RNAcentral lists this long non-coding RNA (288 nucleotides) under Anas platyrhynchos platyrhynchos (common mallard). Its description in RNAcentral is "lncRNA (ENSAPLG00000024993.1)". The record is from RNAcentral. Lineage: Eukaryota; Metazoa; Chordata; Aves; Anseriformes; Anatidae.